GCUACAAGCAGCCAGGUGACCUCUCUUGCCUGUCUGUAUCUGGCCAGCCAGGAGGGAGCCCCCAGGCCCAGACUCAGAGGAGGGGCAAGGGGCUGUGGCAGCAAUAUCAGCAGGAGCAGGUGUUCUACAGCAAGUUGUGCAAGAAACCUCGUAUGUCAAAUAAUCAUCUAUGAUUUGAGAAGGAUACGUCCAUUAAGGCAAUCAUGCUGCGGCAGGAUUCCAGCGCAAACCCUUCUGUCUUCAGGUCUUUGUCUGAAAAAAAUAAUCCCAAAUGAAGAAACUGUACAAGUCAACGCUUCAUCAACUUUCAACUCCUUAUUGCUGUUUGCUCUGUCAGAAACAAAGAUGAUUGGCUAGAGAGACGAGGAAGAGGGCAAAGGGAAGAGAAGAGGAGUGGAAGUUACAUAAUAGAGGAGGGCAAAGUGUUUGAGAAAAUCCAUUCUGUGACCAUGCUCAUGCUGCAACAGCUCCCAUCCCAGAAAGGGCACCAAGUGUGGUAACAGCUGAGACUGCACCAAAGAUGGCUCUGAAGUUACUGUUCUUAUCAUGCUAAAAAGUGAUACUCAUGCUGUUAAUACUCCUUGUGCAAAAAUAGGUAUUAGUUCUCCUUGUACAGGAAAGCCAUUUAUGCAGUAAACACUUCCCGGUUUUAGGAGCAAAAAAGAGGCCAGCCAGGUUCUUUGUUGUACUUUUAAUUAGUGUGACCAGAUGUCCCUAUUUUAUAAGGACAGUCCUGAUAUUUGGGGCUUUGUCUUAUAUAGGCUCCUAUUACCUCCCCGGCCCCCAUUUCCCCCAUUCUGAUUUUUCACACUUGCUGUCUGGUCACCCUAACUUUAAUAGCCCUCACAUGGAAAGGGUGGCAGCACUGCAAUAGCAAUAAAGGCCACCUGUAUUACAAUAAUGCCCAUGCAGAAAAUGAGCUGAGUUGUUAGUACAGAAACAUUUUAACUUUGUACCGUGCAUGUGUUUGAUCCCUUCCCAGUACUGACUUGUGAGGCAUUCCGGCGCAGAGUGCAAUUGCUUUCUUUACUUUUCUUUAAUGCUUUCAAAGACAGAAAAGAUUGCUCUGCCCUUGCAAGACAUGCCAUAUAUAUUUUAUGUGCUCACCUGAUUUUGGAUGUUUUAUGGUCUAGGAUGUAAAUGGUAAUUCGCAAAUAACAGUCCAAAUAGGAGUUUACCGAAUUAAUCCUUAUAACUUGUUUAAAUGGGGUUUAUUUUUGCAUCCUCCUAAUGGAAAAAUGGCAUAAUCCUCACACCCCUACCUAAUUUCAAGGUAGAGGAUACUUUGUAGCUAAGUGUGUUGUAAGGGAUAGGUGGGAGAAACCCAUAGCUUACUAGAGAAGGGGGGUGGCAGCUGGGUUAGACAGCUGGCGGGAGUUUGGGGAGCAGGAAUUUGUGGCAGGAAGAGUGGCAGCAUUUGACAGUAGAAAGUGGAUACUAGGACAUUUGUCUGGAGCAGGAUUGUGUUGUGCUGGAAAGGGAGAUAGGGUGGAGAAGGGUCUGGAGCUGGGAGUGAAGGAGAAGGUUCGUGGCGUGGUGGGGUAACAGGUCAGAAACAAGACCCAAUUCCCAUGAGCUACCGGACACCUUCAACUGCCACUGAAAACAAUGGGAGUCCUGGGUGAUCAGCAUCUGGAUCAGGCCUAUAGGGAUGGAAAGUUUCAGAGGUGCCAGCUUCUCUGUGUGAGCUGAGUACGCUAUCCUGCAAAGCUCUUAUUAGCUAUAUACAGUAGGAAGACAAAGCCAUCACUGCCUAUGGUAGAGUGUAAUUGCAGAAAGCUGCAGAAAACUAGCUCUAACACCAAUCAAGUUCUCAUAUGCAGAAAAACACUCUGACAUUGGCAAAAAACUCAAGCUUCUGUGAUAUCAUCAGGCAUUUAACAACAGUACUGUUUACAGCAGCACCACUUUAAUACAGCUGCAUGCUCAUUAUCCUACUCAAGCCCAGCACUUUUCAGGUCUAUUGAAGCAGAGACCCACCUUGCCUUUUUUCUUUUUCUGAACCAAAAAAAAAAAAGCGAUAUUUAGUAAACAUAGUUGUAGAUUUAUACAAAUUGUAUAAAGUUACACUGUGCAAUGUCAUUCUUGCUCUCUGUUUAUUUUUGCCAUUUAGCUUCAUUCAAACAUCUUUCACAUCUGAGCUCCAUGGAGUCAAAUAUAGGAAGGUAGGAAUUGCCAUACUGGAUCUGAUCAGUGGGUUCAUCUCAUCCACUGCGCUGCCCGAAUUGAGAAAC
This is a long non-coding RNA of Mauremys mutica (yellowpond turtle), 2234 nucleotides long. RefSeq lists it as uncharacterized. The transcript has 3 exons. Lineage: Eukaryota; Metazoa; Chordata; Testudines; Geoemydidae. The record is from RefSeq and is a predicted model, not a curated record.